This 253-nucleotide ribosomal RNA is filed under the name uncultured bacterium. RNAcentral's name for it is "partial 16S ribosomal RNA". It matches the Rfam family "Bacterial small subunit ribosomal RNA", at positions 524 to 776 of the family's 1533-position model. The record is from RNAcentral.
UACGGGGGGGGCAAGCGUUGUUCGGAAUUACUGGGCGUAAAGGGCGCGUAGGCGGCCUGCUAAGUCGGACGUGAAAUCCCUCGGCUCAACCGAGGAACUGCGUCCGAUACUGGUGGGCUUGAAUCCGGGAGAGGGAUGUGGAAUUCAUGGUGUAGCAGUGAAAUGCGUAGAGAUCAUGAGGAAGACCAGUGGCGAAGGCGGGUCUCUGGACAGUUCCUGACACUGAGACACGAAGGCCAGGGGAGCAAACGGG